AUUGAACGCUGGCGGCAGGCUUAACACAUGCAAGUCGAGCGGGGUGAUGGUGCUUGCACUAUCACUUAGCGGCGGACGGGUGAGUAAUGCUUAGGAAUCUGCCUAUUAGUGGGGGACAACAUCUCGAAAGGGAUGCUAAUACCGCAUACGUCCUACGGGAGAAAGCAGGGGAUCACUUGUGACCUUGCGCUAAUAGAUGAGCCUAAGUCGGAUUAGCUAGUUGGUGGGGUAAAGGCCUACCAAGGCGACGAUAUGUAGCGGGUCUGAGAGGAUGAACCGCCACACUGGGACUGAGACACGGCCCAGACUCCUACGGGAGGCAGCAGUGGGGAAUAUUGGACAAUGGGGGGAACCCUGAUCCAGCCAUGCCGCGUGUGUGAAGAAGACCUUAUGGUUGUAAAGCACUUUAAGCGAGGAGGAGGCUCUUUUGGUUAAUACCCAAGAUGAGUGGACGUUACUCGCAGAAUAAGCACCGGCUAACUCUGUGCCAGCAGCCGCGGUAA
RNAcentral lists this ribosomal RNA (503 nucleotides) under uncultured bacterium. RNAcentral describes it as "partial 16S ribosomal RNA". It matches the Rfam family "Bacterial small subunit ribosomal RNA", at positions 30 to 523 of the family's 1533-position model. The record is from RNAcentral.